CCUACGGGAGGCAGCAGUGAGGAAUAUUGGUCAAUGGUCGGGAGACUGAACCAGCCAAGCCGCGUGAGGGAUGAAGGUACAGAGUAUCGUAAACUCCUUUUGUCAGGGAACAAAGGCGGGGACGUGUCCCCGGAUGAGUGUACCUGAAGAAAAAGCAUCGGCAAACUCCGUGCCAGCAGCCGCGGUAAUACGGAGGAUGCGAGCGUUAUCCGGAUUUAUUGGGUUUAAAGGGUGCGCAGGCGGUCUGUUAAGUCAGCGGUCAAAGCCCGGGGCUCAACCCCGGCCCGCCGUUGAAACUGGCAGUCUCGAGUUGGAGAGAGGUAUGCGGAAUGCGCGGUGUAGCGGUGAAAUGCGUAGAUAUCGCGCAGAACUCCGAUUGCGAAGGCAGCAUACCGGCUCCACACUGACGCUGAGGCACGAAAGCGUGGGUAGCGAACAGGAUUAGAUACCCUGGUAGUC
This 459-nucleotide ribosomal RNA is filed under the name uncultured bacterium. RNAcentral's name for it is "partial 16S ribosomal RNA". It matches the Rfam family "Bacterial small subunit ribosomal RNA", at positions 338 to 795 of the family's 1533-position model. The record is from RNAcentral.